Molecule: non-coding RNA, 157 nt
Organism: Exophiala sideris
Lineage: Eukaryota; Fungi; Ascomycota; Eurotiomycetes; Chaetothyriales; Herpotrichiellaceae
Source: the annotation of a GenBank genome assembly
GAAGUUGGCCGAGUGGUUAAGGCGGCAGACUCGAAUGGUCUAUUUGCUAGGCGUUAUCGUAAUCUGCUGGGUUCGCCGUAUGUCUACUCAUUAAUAGAGUAGAAGAACGUAUACUGACCUUAUCAUUAGCGCACAGGUUCAAAUCCUGUAGCUGUCG